ACGCGUAUGAAAGACAAGCUGAAAGACUUUUCUCAAUGAUGUAAGUGGUGGUGCAUGGUCGUUCUUAGUUCGUGGAKUGAUUUGUCUGGUCUAUUCCGAUAACGAGCGAGACCCCAACGUUCCUAAUAGGGGUAGCAGCCCAGCUUGCCCGCAAGGGCUUGCUAGCAGCUACUUCUCUUAGCUUCUUAGACGUAUCAGAGCCGAUAAGGUUCUUGAAAUGGGUUAAUAACAGGUCAGUCAUGCCCUUAGAUGUUCUGGGCCGCACGCGCGUUACAAUGGUAUACAUAGAAAGUGCUCUCAAAGGGCGUUUCCGCAGYCUGCAGGCUGUGGUAACCCCUAGUCUCUCCCUUGACUGGGAUAGACUAUUGCAAUUAUUGGUCUCAAACGAGGAAUUUU
This 396-nucleotide ribosomal RNA is filed under the name Didymium tehuacanense. RNAcentral's name for it is "SSU rRNA". It matches the Rfam family "Eukaryotic small subunit ribosomal RNA", at positions 1241 to 1632 of the family's 1831-position model. Lineage: Eukaryota; Evosea; Eumycetozoa; Physariida; Didymiaceae. The record is from RNAcentral.